CCUACGGGAGGCAGCAGUAAGGAAUAUUGGUCAAUGGAGGGAACUCUGAACCAGCCAUGCCGCGUGCAGGAAGACAGCCCUCUGGGUCGUAAACUGCUUUUAUUCGGGAAUAAACCUUUCUACGUGUAGGAAGCUGAAUGUACCGAAGGAAUAAGGAUCGGCUAACUCCGUGCCAGCAGCCGCGGUAAUACGGAGGAUCCAAGCGUUAUCCGGAUUUAUUGGGUUUAAAGGGUGCGUAGGCGGCUUAUUAAGUCAGGGGUGAAAGACGGUGGCUCAACCAUCGCAGUGCCCUUGAUACUGAUGAGCUUGAAUACACUAGAGGUAGGCGGAAUGUGACAAGUAGCGGUGAAAUGCAUAGAUAUGUCACAGAACACCGAUUGCGAAGGCGGCUCUCUGGACUGUAACUGACGCUGAGGCACGAAAGCGUGGGGAGCGAACAGGAUUAGAUACCCCUGUAGUC
Molecule: ribosomal RNA, 460 nt
Filed under: uncultured bacterium
Lineage: Bacteria
Description: bacterial SSU rRNA
Rfam family: Bacterial small subunit ribosomal RNA
Source: RNAcentral